AACGAACGCUGGCGGCAGGCUUAACACAUGCAAGUCGAACGCCCCGCAAGGGGAGUGGCAGACGGGUGAGUAACACGUGGGGAUCUGCCCAAUGGUACGGAAUAAUUCCGGGAAACUGGGACUAAUACCGUAUGUGCCCGCAAGGGGAAAGAUUUAUCGCCAUUGGAUGAACCCGCGGCGGAUUAGCUAGUUGGUGAGGUAAAGGCUCACCAAGGCGACGAUCCGUAGCUGGUCUGAGAGGAUGAUCAGCCACACUGGGACUGAGACACGGCCCAGACUCCUACGGGAGGCAGCAGUGGGGAAUAUUGGACAAUGGGCGCAAGCCUGAUCCAGCCAUGCCGCGUGAGUGAUGAAGGCCUUAGGGUUGUAAAGCUCUUUCGCCGACGAAGAUAAUGACGGUAGUCGGAGAAGAAGCCCCGGCUAACUUCGUGCCAGCAGCCGCCGUAA
RNAcentral lists this ribosomal RNA (447 nucleotides) under uncultured bacterium. RNAcentral's name for it is "partial 16S ribosomal RNA". It matches the Rfam family "Bacterial small subunit ribosomal RNA", at positions 29 to 523 of the family's 1533-position model. The record is from RNAcentral.